CGGGGUGGCGGUGGGCAGGGUAUUAGAAUGGUACUGGUGGAGAUAAGUCUCAGCCUUUUCUAAUAGCUGGCCCAUGCCUUUCUCUUGAUCCAGCUUUCCGUACUUAGAGGCAGCUUCAAGAAGAUCUUCUGCAGCACCAGCAACUUUGGCCCUGUCUAUUUUGUCUCCUUCGCUGCCGAACGAGGAUUGAGCUGCCCCAGCCACUAGCUUGGCACUUGAGAGAAGCUCAGACGUAGUGGGUUGACGGUCAUGCCCAGUUCGUUUGUCCUUGGGAAGUAAAUCCAUGGAUAUUGUCGCAAUUAGCU
Molecule: long non-coding RNA, 305 nt
Filed under: Populus trichocarpa (black cottonwood)
Lineage: Eukaryota; Viridiplantae; Streptophyta; Magnoliopsida; Malpighiales; Salicaceae
Description: long non-coding RNA (PTRI_LNC002570)
Source: RNAcentral